Molecule: long non-coding RNA, 1483 nt
Filed under: Callithrix jacchus (white-tufted-ear marmoset)
Lineage: Eukaryota; Metazoa; Chordata; Mammalia; Primates; Cebidae
Description: lncRNA (ENSCJAG00000081092.1)
Source: RNAcentral
CAGCUGUCCUAAUGUCCAUCUGUCACUUAGCCAGCCUCCUGCAUGGCUUCCUCUGGGCACAGUGACCCAUGCCUGUAAUCCCAGCACUUUGGGGGUUCGAAAAAGGUGUAUCACCUGAGUUCAGAAGUUCGAAACCAGACUGGUCAACAUGACAAAAUGCCAUCUCUCUUAAAAAAUACAAAGAUUACUUGAGCAUCGUGGCAGGCACCUAUAAUCUCAGCUACUCCAGAAUCUCAGUCAGGAGAAUCACUUGAACCCAGGAGGCAGAGGUUACAGUGAGCUAAGAUCACGCCACUGCACUCCUGGCUGGUAACAAAGCAAGACUCUAUCUCAAAAAAUAACAAAAUACCUUCCGAGGCAGCUGCCUUCUGAUGAUGACCCUCUCCCAGUUAAGCACAGACCCCGAACUCCUGCCUGACCCUAAAGUGCCAGGUGAUGCUGCCCAUGCACUCCUCUGGCCACACUGAGUGUCCUCUGAGUCAUGCUGCUCCCUCUGCCUAGGUAUUUGCUGUCCCCUGUCUCAGAGCCUUCACUCCCUCUUCCAGGCUCCAUCCCCUCAUCCUCUGCCUGCCCAGCACCCACCUCCUGGUCAUUUAACAUGUAGCUCAGGUUGUAAUCCCAGUACUUUUGGAGGCCAGGGGCAGAGGGUCACUGGAGCCCAAGAGCUUGAGGCCAGCCUGGGCAACAGAGUGAGACCCCACAACUCCACCAAAAAUGUAAAAGGAAGAAAGAAAGAUGUAGCUCAGGUAUUACCCACCUCCAGGUAGCCUUCCUGAUGGCAUUAUACCCAGGUGGGCUCAGGGGCAGCCUCUGUUCUCUGGGCAUCAGAAGCCCCUCCCUGGGGCAGCGGUCCUGGGUCAGCUUCUGCAGGAGUCCAGGAACAGGAUGAUGGUGGAUGGAUCAGGACUGAGGGUCAGAGAUGCAGAGAGGCAGACAGCUUUGGGAUGCAGUUGGUGGGAUCAGUGGGACUUGCUGCAGGGUGACUGUCAGGGUGCAGGGGAGAAUUCCGGACCAGCCAUGUCUUCAUCUCUCUCUUCCUUCCAAUCCCAGGAGAGAAAACGAGGCAGAAGGACUUGUGGGCCCGACUCACCAGCUCCAUCCUCAGGAACUCGAGGACCAUCAAGUUCCAUGGCUGCGAGUGAGCCUUUCUGGACAGAGUUCUGUGCAUCCGAGCACUGAUGUAAAGGAUGGAGGAAGAUGGACGAUGGGUGGCUGCCCUGAAUGCCGAGCUGUUCAUGCCAGGGCUGGCAGGACUGUGUGCCCUUGGCCUGCUGCAGCAGUGGGGCCGGCUGUGGACCAACUCCCUGAGGAUCCAGUACAGCCUCCUGGUUGCAGGGCCCCUGGACUGAAGGACUCCUAUCUGGAAUUGGUGCUGUGGCCCCUGAAGAAGGUGUGGCGGGAGCGGGAAGAGGAGGCCAUGUGGUGGCUACAGGCCUGGGUGCCCGGAUCCCAGGCAACCAGGAUCCCAGGCCCAUCAGGGUGA